GAUGGAAGAACGCAGCGAAAUGCGAUAAGUAGUGUGAAUUGCAGAAUUCAGUGAAUCAUCGAAUCUUUGAACGCACAUUGCGCCCCAUGGUAUUCCGUGGGGCAUGCCUGUUCGAGCGUCAUUUACCCCCUCAAGCUCCGCUUGGUGUUGGGCGUCUGUCCCGCUUCGCGCGCGGACUCGCCCCAAAGGUAUUGGCAGCGGUCGUGCCAGCUUCUCGCGCAGCACAUUGCGCUUCUCGAGGCACCGGUGGGCCCGCGUCCAUCAAGCUCACCCCCCCAGUUUGACCUCGGAUCAGGUAGGGAUACCCGCUGAACUUAAGCAUAUCAAUAAGCGGAGGA
RNAcentral lists this unclassified non-coding RNA (338 nucleotides) under soil metagenome. RNAcentral describes it as "partial contains 5.8S ribosomal RNA, internal transcribed spacer 2, and large subunit ribosomal RNA". The stretch from base 5 to 121 matches the Rfam family "5.8S ribosomal RNA", at positions 38 to 154 of the family's 154-position model. The record is from RNAcentral.